Aegilops tauschii subsp. strangulata is the source of this 4404-nucleotide long non-coding RNA. RefSeq lists it as uncharacterized. The record is from RefSeq and is a predicted model, not a curated record. Lineage: Eukaryota; Viridiplantae; Streptophyta; Magnoliopsida; Poales; Poaceae.
CUAGCCCACCUCACCCCGAUGUAAAAAAAAAAAAAAAAACACCUAGCUAUCUCCCCAUUCGCAAUGAGCAGUUUUCACACGAUGAUGUUCCUCUUCCCCCGGCCCUUCUAUUUUUCGCGAUUGCGGCGGCGGCGGCAGGGACAGCACCAGAGGACGACCCGACUGCUAUGGCUACUUCUCUCGAGCGUGGUGUACUCCCCUUUCCCUCUCCCAUGCGGUGGCGAACCGGAGGCGACGUGGGCAGUGCAACGAUCGGGGCGAGCUCGGCGGCGCCAACAGCCUUCUACGGCAUCCAUCUCCUCCCUCGGCGGUCUUAUCGCCCCCCUCCUCCUCUUCUUAACCUCUCCUCCUCCACUAAUUUCUGAAUUUCUAGGAUUAGGGUUAUUGAUUUUUGGGAGCGGUGCAGGGGAAGGGGAAGAAACUAGGGAAGUAAAGGAAAAAAGAGGAGCUUAGGGGGUGAUGGAGGUGAUGCUGGAGACGGGCGCCCGACAGUGAGAUGAUGGAGGUGGAGAAGAAGGCCAAUCCGAUGACAUAGAAGAAGAGGAGAGCUCAAUGCUGCGGAGAGAAAGGAACAUCAGUAGAGUAUCCGACUUUGAUUCAGCUGAGACAUUUUCGUUUUUUCGCAAGACAUGUGAAUCCUCUCUGCGUUUUUUGCUUUUGUUUAGAAUUCACGAAUUUUCUUCCUUGUAGCUAUAAAUGAUGGUUCCGACUUAAUUGGAUUUUAGUAAUGACGUACAUAAAGAAUCAAUCUAUACGGCUGUACCUAGCUGACAAUGCUAAUUCUCUGUAAAUUUGUAUUAUCAAAAUUUGCACAAACCUACGAGCAAAAUUUUCUUCAAUUAAAGAUGAUUCAUUUUAUGAGGAAUUUGUUUUAUAUUUAGUGAAUUUAUUAGGCAAACAAGGAAUUGGAAUUCUGCCAAGAAAUCUAGGGGCAGAAGAAGAUGCAUGCAAGGGACUUGCGGACUAGGCAAAUGCUGUGCAGGCGAGAAAAUGCUCAAGUUCCAUGACUCCAAGUUCACCUUGAUGUAUUCAGGUAUCGCACAGCCCAUAAAGAACCGCUGGUAAUAUGAUUAAGGCAUGUGAAUAAUCUUCUAAAUUUGUUCAUAAGGCAAAUCCUCGAGGUUGGCAGCACAUGUCCAAUUCGAUCUGUUUCCACUGCACACACAUGUUCUUUUUCAAUUAGCAAUGCCAAUUAGCGAUCGUCUCAAUGUUAUGUCUCUGUUUUCUUUUGCAAUCUGCAAGGAACUCAAAGAUAGUUGUACGUUUGCUCACGUGCAUUCUAGUCCAUAAAUUGUUUGGGCAAUACAGAACAGAAGAAUAUGUACAUGUUUGGGUACAAACUUCAGUUUGUUUUGAUGCUGAUGAAUUAGUUGAAUCCUGAAUUUUGUUGUUAAGAGAAUAGAUAGCUCUCAUCCCGCAAAAGAAAAGGAAGUAAGCUAGAGCUCUCCUAUGAAUGUGUAUGAGAUCUUCUGGCAAUGCUAGGAUUUUGAGGGCUUUCGUUUAAAUUAAGUGUGCAGUUCUUGCUUCUGAUCAUUACCAUUACUUAAGUGUUAAUUUUGUUAUCUUGUGUGUACAAUAUGCUAUUCUCUAUUCAGCUGACUGCAUGACCAAUAUUACUUAUUUAGUAUAUGAGUAAUUUAAUUUUCUUGUUUCAUGCAGUUUGGAGCAAUUCGUGAUUACUACCAGCUUCAAAUUAGAUUUAUCUGAAUUGCAAUGAGGUACAAGACUGUCCCUCUUCCUUGCUGUCUUAUCUUCGGUGUUUAUUUGGUUGAACUAGCAUAAACCUAACUUUUAAUACUGACGUGUUUCCGCCCAAUUUGUGCAGUAAGCCAUGCUAGUCAUCAAGUAAUCAAUCUCAAUGUUCCCUUAAUAGAUGAUUGCUAUUGAUUUGCUGUGGCUUAACUAUCAACGACAAAACAUUUCCCUUUUCCCCCUAAUACUGGUUUAUUUGCUCCUUCUAGGAGGCCUGCAUUUUGCUAAUUGUCUAUUUGCUAGAGAAGUAGUGGCAAUGAACUGAUGCCUUAUCUGAAUAGCUUCAGAAAUUCUUAACAUGAAAUACAUAAUAUACUUAUCUGUAUGUGGUUCAUGCUUCGUUGUUUAAAUUUUCUCUUUGUUAAAUGUUGGCGAGUAGAUAUAUAUUCUUGAUUCGUUAUCCUGAAUCUGAAUUUGGGGAAGAUGAUCUAACUAGCUUCUAAAUCAGCUGAGUUGUACUGAUGAUGGUGUGUUUGCUGCUCACACAUUUUAUUCCAAGGACCAUUAUGACAAAUAAUGGCCACUUAUAGGUUGCUGGUAAUGCAUUUUCACACCAUACAUAUGCUUGUGCUUACCCCCGUUGGGUAAUCAAUAUGAUACUCGUGCACUAAUUUGUGGAUUUCGGUUUGUUUUAUACAUGAAAAUAAGGUAAGAGUGUUAUGUCAGCUUCAAGUCCCUCGAAACCACAUACUUUUGUUCGUCUUGUUCUAGGUUACCUUCUUCCAUGGUGGCAUGAAUCUGUCUUACAAAAAAUAGACGUGGAUGCUUUCUUCGUCAGUUCCAUGUAAUUUUUGUCUCGUUGAUCUGUAAUUUCGGAUGUAUGUGAGUUUUUGAGGUGCACAGUUCACUAGCAUUACCUAGGUUAAGCAUAUCUUUGCUCCCACAUUUGCAUGACACAUGAUUUAUACUUUGGAUUGUAUAUGAAUUACUGUUUGUGUAUGCAUAUGCUACAGUUUGCACCUCUAGUAUUUUAACUUCCUACUUCAGUGGAUGUGGUAAAGUGCAACAAUACUCAAUUAGGCCUUACUGAUUUUUAUGGUCGUCUUUUUAGCAUCUGGCAAAGCAGUAAGAUUAAUGAUGUAAUGGCCGUAACUAUACUUCUUGUCGAAAAGCGAUCUAUGGGAAAACCUCCUCAAGAAUCUGGAGGAUGUAGUGAGAGAUCUGACCUGGGAUUGUUACUCUCAUACAACCCUAUUCACAUCCAUGUUGUACUUGCACUUGCGAGCUUCUCAUUGGCUCUGAAAAUUGAAUGAAACAGUUCUCAUUUUCAGUCAUAUUUUUCUGGGUAAUCCACACGGGACGAAAAGCACAUUAGGCAUGCAUACAAUUGUCAAAUUUUACAGGCUGAAAUUUUGGAAUAAUUGUCAAUUGGUUUUCAGUCGAUUGGCUGUCAAUCUUUGCAGAUUUAUCAGUUUAACCCGCCCUCAAUCUAGGAGUAAUCUUGUAUAACAUUCAGUUACAAGACACAAACUAGUUAAAUAUGAUGACUCCCACCAUUGUAUCUGGCACACUUUGAUAAAAUACAUGGUUUAGUGUGCAUUGAAACAAUAGUUACGGAGUUUGCCUGUUUAUAUUGUUUCUCACUAUACUUUUGAUUCAUAGUGUGUUAUGGGUUCAUGUGAUUCCGAACAGUUUGGUACAUCUAAUAUCCCUCUGAGUUAUGUAUGCUUUCAACAUUGUGUCCAGUUUAGGGUAGUGAAGCAUAUUAAUCCUAAAGUGUUAUAUGCGCUUGUGUGUUGGGGGCCUCUAUUUGUUUGUUAGUAUACUUCUGAGAACUGAUAAUAUUAUGCUUUUCAGGUAUCUGUUCAAGUGGAUGACAGUAAAUGUAUGAGGGUAGAGAGUAAUGUCUUCUUAUUUAUGGUGGGUACGAGUAACAUUAAAUUGAAAUUUCAGACCUUUAACUAAUCCCUCCAUCCCACAGUAUAAGAUGUUUUUGCAAACUAAACAUAGCUUGCAAAAACGUCUUAUAUUGUGGGACGGAGGGAGUAGUAACCAGUAGCAAAAUUCAGGAUUUGGUGAGAAGAAAAGUGAACCUAAGGGCUCCAAUACUAUUAAUAGCACAAUACUAUGUUGCAUUCACCGUUUCAGUCCUGGAGAGAUUGCUGAACAGAUGAAGUUGAUGGAAAAUUCUAUGGUCACCUAAAAAUUAAGCUGCUUGAAGAUCAAGUUCAGAAGUACUGCAGUCAGCUUUCAAGUUCGGUAGUAUUCAGUUUUGUAAUAGUGAUUUCUGAAUAUGUCAUGCUACUAGUUACUUAGUGCUAAGUGGCAUUCAGUUGUUUUCAAACAAUUUUUUUUUUUCUAAUUGCAAGGAUAGUUUUUGUUACAUGGGGUAUUUCCCUGAACCACUACAUGGAAUCUAUUUAUUAGACCGAUUUGUUGUUCUGUGGUUACCGAAAAUUCCUCAUGCAAGAGUUAAUUAGUGGCCUAUGUUUCUUACUAUCACCAAAAAUGCCUCCUACAGAAUUGUUAGUGGCCUAUGUUUCUUGCGAUCACAAAAAAUGCCUCCUACAGAAUUCAUAGUGGCCUAUGUUACUUAAAUCUCAUAUUUCAUUUUUGCUACAGAUCGAUGUACUCAGUCCAAUUGAAGUAGUAAUAGAUCUAACGUAAAAUGCCUGAAAUAUAGGAGCACAACCUUGUAUCUAAAAAAUAAAA